Molecule: small RNA, 1078 nt
Filed under: Drosophila mojavensis
Lineage: Eukaryota; Metazoa; Arthropoda; Insecta; Diptera; Drosophilidae
Description: GI25841
Source: RNAcentral
GCAAUUGAUGCAUGAUAGUAAAGAUUCUAAAAUGUAAUUAGAGCACUUCACAACGUAUUUAAGAAUAUCAAUGCGAAUUAUAAGAAACAGUCUUUCAAGCUAUUUCAACUAAGCUAAACUAAUAUCAAAAUGAAACUCUGGCUCAGGUUGGAAGGUAUUUUUCUUGUUGUCCUCGCCUUAAGCAUCCGGGAUAAUUUGGCGGCGCCGCGACCAUUUAUUAAUUUACACGUACCACUCUUUACAAUCGAUGUUGGUGGUAUAAGUAAGUUACAAUAUUUCUGAAAUAUUUUCAAUAUGCUUAGUUUGCACUCAAUUCUUCCUUGCAGAAAUAAGCACUGCCUAAUCUUGGGAUUGCCAAUAAAUUAGAUAUAUAGAAUUUUUUUAAAUCAAGCAUUUGUAAAUGAAUGAAGUGUGUUGGAUUCCAAAAAGGGAUUGUAUUCCAUUAAAAUGUUCUCUUUUUGUUUUAAAUCGACUCGGUUCGUCGCCCAGAUCAAGUAUUUAUGGUGUUUACCAAAUCCAGUAUACGCUGAAUUUUUAAUGGGCUUUUUUUAAUUAAUGAUCCUUAACAGGGUCCAUGACAUCGUUUAUCAGUCGAUAAUGAAUACUUAUUGCUAUUUAACUGAAGUCGAGGGGAACACUGAAUGACGAAACAACUUAAAUAGCUAUUUUCACACAUUUAUAAUGCAAUUUAAGCAUGAGAAUAGUUUAUAAAAUUAGACAAUUUCACAACGUAUUCAAGUAUAUCGCUUCGCUGCAUAAGAAACAGUCUUUCAAGCGAUUUGAAACUGACACAAUUUCAGCUCUCAACAAAUAUUGAAAAUGAUAUUCUUCAAGUUGGAACCUUAUUUUCUUGUAUUCCUCGUUGUAUGCAAUGUUGAUGUAUUGGUGAAGAAUCAACGCCUUUUAGAUGUAAACGUAGAUAUCGCAACAAUCAACAAUGGUGGCGUGCACAUAGGCUAAGUUUGAAAUUGUAAAUAAAUUAUAUGCUUGCCGAUUGUAUAAAAUGAAGAUUCUACGUGGGCUAAGGCUAAGCUUGAGAUUGUAAUUAAAUUUGAUGCACGGAAUUAUAUAAAACCAA